CUAUCAGGUGGGUUCAAAAGUAAUUGCAGUUUUUGCCAUUGAAAGUGAUGGGAAAAAAUGCAGUUACUUUUGUGCCAAAUCCAAUA
RNAcentral lists this microRNA precursor (86 nucleotides) under Chlorocebus sabaeus (green monkey). RNAcentral's name for it is "miRNA (ENSCSAG00000023911.1)". The record is from RNAcentral. Lineage: Eukaryota; Metazoa; Chordata; Mammalia; Primates; Cercopithecidae.